RNAcentral lists this ribosomal RNA (1249 nucleotides) under uncultured soil eukaryote. Its description in RNAcentral is "SSU rRNA". It matches the Rfam family "Eukaryotic small subunit ribosomal RNA", at positions 13 to 952 of the family's 1831-position model. The record is from RNAcentral.
CCUGCCAGUAGUUAUAUGCUUGUUUCAAGGACUAAGCCAUGCAAGUCUAAGAAUUAAGUGUGUUAAGCCAAGUCUGCGUACGGCUCAUUAAAUCAGCUCUAAUCUACCCGCUGAAGUGGGGGUUUUUCCCUGCCAGACGGAUACCCUCCAGAAACUAGAGGCUAAUACGUGUACGACAAGCGCUUUUCUCUGUUCCAAUCGGGAAAGGGAAACCGGACCCGUGGAGAGGGCGCGCAGUUGGCCGAUACCAAAAACCAACCCGCGGUGCAUGCGGAGUGGGCGCGUACUGACGAUUCAGGCCAACCGACGAGCGAUAGCGCAGUGGCCCCGAGCCGGCGCAAGAGCGGACGAAGAUCUGCCCUAUCAUGCUGCGAUGGUAGUGUAGUGGACUACCAUGGCCAUCACGGGUAACGGAGGAUCAGGGUUCGAUUCCGGAGAGGGAGCCUGAGAGACGGCUACCACGACUAAGGUCGGCAGCAGGCGCGCAAAUUGCCCAAUACCAAUACUGGUGAGGCAGCGACGAAAAAUAGCAGCUCUGCUUGUCAAUCGACAUGUGGGGACUGCAAUGGAUGAUAUUCAAACCCAUCAAUGAGUAUCAAUUGGAGGGCAAGUCUGGUGCCAGCAGCCGCGGUAAUUCCAGCUCCAAUAGCGUAUGCUAAUGCUGUUGCCGUUAAAAAGCUCGUAGUUGGAUUCACAGGUGGGGUUGCGCAGGGCCCAGCAGGGGGGAGGGUCUCCCUCAUCUUUCCGACGUCUCGGCGUAGGGCAACCGAAACCGAGCGUAUGGGGAUGAGGGUCCUCCUAUUAUUUCCCUGUCCUUGGGGUCCAACCCUGCGCGGAUGACUCCACUCUGUUUGCACACGGAACCGAUCUGCCUGCGGAAGCCUCCUUCACUGGACGGCGGAAGCAACCCUCGCCCAACACAUGGGCUGAAGGCACGUCCGUGGCCGUUACUGUGAACAAAACAGCGUGUUCAAGGCAACUGUGACCUUUUUCCGGUUGAAUGCUCCAGCAUGGAAUAACAAGGGAUGGACCGUCGGGUCCUUCUUUUUGUUGGCUUUCAAGACCCGAAAGCGGGCAAUGCAGAGCGGGAAUCUCCGCGCGGUACCUUCCUCGCCGUUCCUUCGGGUGCGGCGGGGAGGCCGCGUUUUCCCGUCUCUACCCCGGAUCAAUAGGAGCCAUCGGGGAGAUACGUAUUGCUGCGCUAGUGGUGAAAUACUUAGACCGCAGCAAGACGAACAACUGCGAAAGC